RNAcentral lists this ribosomal RNA (397 nucleotides) under uncultured bacterium. Its description in RNAcentral is "partial 16S ribosomal RNA". It matches the Rfam family "Bacterial small subunit ribosomal RNA", at positions 523 to 918 of the family's 1533-position model. The record is from RNAcentral.
AUACGUUGGGGGCGAGCGUUGUCCGGAAUGAUUGGGCGUAAAGGGCGCGUAGGCGGCCCGGUAAGUCUGGAGUGAAAGUCCCGCUUUCAAGGUGGGAAUUGCUUUGGAGACUGGUUGGCUUGAGUGCGGAAGAGGUAAGUGGAAUUCCCAGUGUAGCGGUGAAAUGCGUAGAGAUUGGGAGGAACACCAGUGGCGAAGGCGACUUACUGGGCCGUAACUGACGCUGAGGCGCGAAAGCGUGGGGAGCGAACAGGAUUAGAUACCCUGGUAGUCCACGCUGUAAACGAUGAAUGCUAGGUGUAGGGGGUAUCGACCCCUCCUGUGCCGGAGUAAACGCAAUAAGCAUUCCGCCUGGGGAGUACGGCCGCAAGGUUGAAACUCAAAUGAAUUGACGGGG